AGAGUUUGAUCCUGGCUCAGAGCGAACGCUGGCGGCAGGCUUAACACAUGCAAGUCGAACGGAUGGCUUCGGCCAUCAGUGGCAGACGGGUGAGUAACGCGUGGGAACAUGCCCUUCGGUUCGGAAUAACCAAUGGAAACGUUGGCUAAUACCGGAUACGCCCUUUUGGGGAAAGGUUUACCGCCGAGGGAUUGGCCCGCGUCCGAUUAGCUUGUUGGUGAGGUAACGGCUCACCAAGGCGACGAUCGGUAGCUGGUCUGAGAGGAUGAUCAGCCACACUGGGACUGAGACACGGCCCAGACUCCUACGGGAGGCAGCAGUGGGGAAUAUUGGACAAUGGGGGCAACCCUGAUCCAGCCAUGCCGCGUGAGUGAUGAAGGCCUUAGGGUUGUAAAGCUCUUUCGCACGCGACGAUAAUGACGGUAGCGUGAGAAGAAGCCCCGGCUAACUUCGUGCCAGCAGCCGCGGUAAUACGAAGGGGGCUAGCGUUGCUCGGAAUCACUGGGCGUAAAGCGCGCGUAGGCGGAUCUUUAAGUCAGGGGUGAAAUCCCGGGGCUCAACCCCGGAACUGCCUUUGAUACUGGGGAUCUUGAGUUCGAGAGAGGUUGGUGGAACUGCGAGUGUAGAGGUGAAAUUCGUAGAUAUUCGCAAGAACACCAGUGGCGAAGGCGGCCAACUGGCUCGACACUGACGCUGAGGCGCGAAAGCGUGGGGAGCGAACAGGAUUAGAUACCCUAGUAGUCC
RNAcentral lists this ribosomal RNA (744 nucleotides) under uncultured bacterium. Its description in RNAcentral is "bacterial SSU rRNA". It matches the Rfam family "Bacterial small subunit ribosomal RNA", at positions 8 to 796 of the family's 1533-position model. The record is from RNAcentral.